Long non-coding RNA from Ipomoea nil (Japanese morning glory), 375 nucleotides. RefSeq lists it as uncharacterized. The record is from RefSeq and is a predicted model, not a curated record. The transcript is spliced from 4 exons. Lineage: Eukaryota; Viridiplantae; Streptophyta; Magnoliopsida; Solanales; Convolvulaceae.
CUUGCUAAUAUUGGAGGAGUAGAUUUGAUGAGGAGGCGGGAAAGGAGCUACUUGAGAUAUUAAAUAUGCUUUGCUGCUGGGUUGAGGAUCCUAAUUCAGAGGCCUUCAAAUUGCAUUUGCCAAGAAUCUAUGAUUAUAUCUGGGUUGCUGAAGAUGGCAUGAAAAUGCAGGGAUAUAAUGACAGCCAAUCAUGGGACACUGCAUUUGUUGUCCAAGCAAUCAUAGAAGAAUUAUCAUCAUAUCUGGCUAGCAAAUUUUGUAGCCGGAGGUGAACGAUGUUCGGCCUUCCAGUUGGUGGGGGCUUGUAGAGAAAUCCUGGGGCAUUUCACAGAAGUAUUCCCACGUGCUUCCAUUUUACUCGAAUUUUGAUCAGGU